UACGUAGGGGGCAAGCGUUGUCCGGAUUUAUUGGGCGUAAAGAGCGUGUAGGCGGUUUGGUAGGUCCGCUGUGAAAACUCGAGGCUCAACCUCGAGACGCCGGUGGAAACCAUCAGGCUAGAGUCCGGAAGAGGAGAGUGGAAUUCCUGGUGUAGCGGUGAAAUGCGCAGAUAUCAGGAAGAACACCCGUGGCGAAGGCGGCUCUCUGGGACGGUACUGACGCUGAGACGCGAAAGCCAGGGGAGCAAACGGG
This 253-nucleotide ribosomal RNA is filed under the name uncultured bacterium. Its description in RNAcentral is "partial 16S ribosomal RNA". It matches the Rfam family "Bacterial small subunit ribosomal RNA", at positions 524 to 776 of the family's 1533-position model. The record is from RNAcentral.